GACGAACGCUGGCGGCGUGCUUAACACAUGCAAGUCGUACGGUAAGGCCCUUUCGGGGGUCCACGAGUGGCGAACGGGUGAGUAACACGUGAGUAACCUGCCCACAACUUUGGGAUAACGCUAGGAAACUGGUGCUAAUACUGGAUAUGUGCUCCUGCUGCAUGGUGGGGGUUGGAAAGCUCCGGCGGUUGUGGAUGGACUCGCGGCCUAUCAGCUUGUUGGUGGGGUAGUGGCCUACCAAGGCGGCGGCGGGUAGCCGGCCUGAGAGGGUGACCGGCCACAUUGGGACUGAGAGACGGCCCAGACUCCUACGGGAGGCAGCAGUGGGGAAUAUUGCACAAUGGGCGCAAGCCUGAUGCAGCAACGCCGCGUGCGGGAUGACGGACUUCGGGUUGUAAACCGCUUUCAGCAGGGACGAAGCUUUUUGUGACGGUACCUGCAGAAGAAGCACCGGCUAACUACGUG
This 465-nucleotide ribosomal RNA is filed under the name uncultured bacterium. RNAcentral describes it as "partial 16S ribosomal RNA". It matches the Rfam family "Bacterial small subunit ribosomal RNA", at positions 28 to 507 of the family's 1533-position model. The record is from RNAcentral.